UNCACGCCCUAAACGAUGUCGAUUAGCUGUUGGGCAGCAUGACUGCUUAGUAGCGAAGCUAACGCGUGAANUCGACCGCCUGGGGAGUACGGUCGCAAGGUUAAAACUCAAAGGAAUUGACGGGGACCCGCACAAGCGGUGGAUGAUGUGGAUUAAUUCGAUGCAACGCGAAGAACCUUACCUGGUCUUGACAUGUACGGAAUCCUCCAGAGACGGAGGAGUGCCUUCGGGAGCCGUAACACAGGUGCUGCAUGGCUGUCGUCAGCUCGUGUCGUGAGAUGUUGGGUUAAGUCCCGCAACGAGCGCAACCCUUGUCAUUAGUUGCCAUCAUUAAGUUGGGCACUCUAAUGAGACUGCCGGUGACAAGCCGGAGGAAGGUGGGGAUGACGUCAAGUCCUCAUGGCCCUUAUGACCAGGGCUUCACACGUCAUACAAUGGUCGGUACAGAGGGUAGCCAAGCCGCGAGGCGGAGCCAAUCUCACAAAACCGAUCGUAGUCCGGAUUGCACUCUGCAACUCGAGUGCAUGAAGUCGGAAUCGCUAGUAAUCGCAGGUCAGCAUACUGCGGUGAAUACGUUCCCGGGUCUUGUACACACCGCCCGUCACACCAUGGGAGUGGGGGAUACCAGAAGUNGGUAGGGUAACCGCAAGGAGCCCGCUUACCACGNU
RNAcentral lists this ribosomal RNA (668 nucleotides) under uncultured bacterium. RNAcentral describes it as "bacterial SSU rRNA". It matches the Rfam family "Bacterial small subunit ribosomal RNA", at positions 794 to 1463 of the family's 1533-position model. The record is from RNAcentral.